Carya illinoinensis is the source of this 1759-nucleotide long non-coding RNA. RefSeq lists it as uncharacterized. The transcript has 3 exons. The record is from RefSeq and is a predicted model, not a curated record. Lineage: Eukaryota; Viridiplantae; Streptophyta; Magnoliopsida; Fagales; Juglandaceae.
GAAACCAAAGUUUCCAACUUCUUGGCCUUUUCCACUAAUUGGUAUUUAUCCAAUGCCUCUCUAGUAGAAAACAAAAUCCACAAUUACACUAUUCAGAGGCUGUAGUAAAACAGCUCCAGAUUCCUUCACAGCACUAAAGGACCCUAUUGACUGCAUUUCAAGGGAUGGGAUAGUGGAAGGGUAGACCACAAAAUGAAUAUCAGCAGAAACAUGGGUAUUGAAAAUCUUAAAAGUCCAUGGGUUUCCAAUUUUGAAGGAGUUCCUACCAAGAUGAUGGAUCCUGCCGUAGGUGCCUGUACAUGAGCUUCGCAAAACCAAAUAUGAACUAGUACCAUAGGCACUUUGACAGCGAAAGAGGUGAAAGAAGCAAUCCAUAGAAAGAGUUGGCGCCGCUCACUAAAUUUUGUGGUUAAUGAAAUUUGUAAAUUGGUGGCUCCUGUUUCGAGAAGAAUCAACAAAAUAGCUAAUAGCAUAAAAACACAUCCAAGUAAAGUAUAAAGGAAAAAUUGAUAUGCUGCAUUGAUCUUUCACUACAGGAAAUUUGCCUUCUCGCGGGGAGCAAAUUCCCCGCAAUUCUCCGAUUUUCCCGCAGCAAAUUUUCAGAAACUGCGAUUUGAGUUCAUCGCUAAUUGGUCGAAAGUAAAACGUCUGCUCAGAGGGGUUUCGGUGAGAAACCAUUGGUGGCCGCAACUGCAGCAGCUAACUCGGCCAACAAAUCUCGCAGCAAAAUUGGUUGAGCAAAUUGGUCUGAAGGGCAAUUACGGUGAGGAGACGUCGCAAAUUUGGGUCAUUGACGGCGAUUUUGCAACCCCGUAAAAUCUAAAUAUUCGGUGAUUCUAGAGCUGGCAGCAAGGAGCUUUGUUCCAUUUGCGGUGAAUUCAUAGACACCGCAAUUUCAAACUCUUCAUACGACGAUUUUGGGGCUGGCGGUAAGAAAGAGAGUUCCCAUUUGCGGUGUCUUCCUAUACGCUGCAAGUUCAGACUAAUACGGUGAAUUCAUAGACGCCGUAAAUUUUGAUAUUCUACAUGCGGUGAGGUUGUAUGGCGCAGAAAAUGCCAAAACCACCACUUUCUAAAAUUUACAAUUGCUGGGUUGGAUAUGCGGUGAAUAAAUGAAGAAACCCACUCGCAGAAUUAGAUCUAUGGGUUUUCCAAACGCUGGAUAGUACCAAUAGUUGAGCAAAUUUAUGGGUUUUUGGAAUGCCGUGCAUGCGCAAUAUUAUUCCCCCUAUUUUUGUUGCCACUACAAGAUCUAUAGUUGAGCAAAAUUAUUAUUUUUGGAAUGCUUCGCAGCAACGUUAACGUUAUUGGACAGCUCAUGUUUUGAACCCAGGAUCUAAUUAUAUUAAGCUGAAUUACACUGCACUAACUCAGGAAAAAAUUAAGAAGAUCAAGAAGAAAGAACUCUAAAGAGUAGCUACGUACGUAACCAGGUUGAAGAGGGAAAGACUACGCCGGUAAAAAGAGAAUAAGUAGUGGCAUCCACAAGAAGCUACUUAUUAUAGUAAGUAGUGGAGAUUUUUUCGAAAGAGAUGGUAGGAAGAUACAUACCGGGAUCUCUUAGUGCUUAAAGGUGAGUCUGAAUAUCAUUCAACGUCUCCAAUGGCCUCCACAUUCCCUCCAAUUUUGCCACCCAUGUCUAAGCAGAUUUCUUUGAAGAAAAAAACUCUGUAUCUUUCUGUGUACUGCUUUCGUGUAGUGGACUGAAGUGACUUGUAUCUGCUAUGGUGUUUUAAAAGUUUGGCUAAUUUCCCCCCAA